RNAcentral lists this ribosomal RNA (253 nucleotides) under uncultured bacterium. RNAcentral describes it as "partial 16S ribosomal RNA". It matches the Rfam family "Bacterial small subunit ribosomal RNA", at positions 524 to 776 of the family's 1533-position model. The record is from RNAcentral.
UACGAAGGGGGCUAGCGUUGCUCGGAAUCACUGGGCGUAAAGGGCGCGUAGGCGGCCGAUCAAGUCGGAGGUGAAAGCCCAGGGCUCAACCCUGGAAUGGCCUUCGAUACUGGUUGGCUCGAGACCGGAAGAGGUCAGUGGAACUGCGAGUGUAGAGGUGAAAUUCGUAGAUAUUCGCAAGAACACCAGUGGCGAAGGCGGCUGACUGGUCCGGUUCUGACGCUGAGGCGCGAAAGCGUGGGGAGCAAACAGG